RNAcentral lists this transfer RNA (77 nucleotides) under Planctomycetota bacterium. RNAcentral's name for it is "Planctomycetes bacterium tRNA-Ala". It matches the Rfam family "tRNA". Rfam says of the family: Transfer RNA (tRNA) molecules are approximately 80 nucleotides in length. Their secondary structure includes four short double-helical elements and three loops (D, anti-codon, and T loops). The record is from RNAcentral. Lineage: Bacteria; Pseudomonadati; Planctomycetota. RNAcentral also lists the same sequence under 1 other name.
GGGGAUGUAGCUCAAUUUGGGAGAGCGCCGCCUUUGCACGGCGGAGGUUGUCGGUUCGAGCCCGAUCAUCUCCACCA